GACGAACGCUGGCGGCGUGCCUAAUACAUGCAAGUAGAACGCUGAAGAGAGGAGCUUGCUCUUCUUGGAUGAGUUGCGAACGGGUGAGUAACGCGUAGGUAACCUGCCUUGUAGCGGGGGAUAACUAUUGGAAACGAUAGCUAAUACCGCAUAACAAUGGAUGACACAUGUCAUUUAUUUGAAAGGGGCAAUUGCUCCACUACAAGAUGGACCUGCGUUGUAUUAGCUAGUAGGUGAGGUAACGGCUCACCUAGGCGACGAUACAUAGCCGACCUGAGAGGGUGAUCGGCCACACUGGGACUGAGACACGGCCCAGACUCCUACGGGAGGCAGCAGUAGGGAAUCUUCGGCAAUGGGGGCAACCCUGACCGAGCAACGCCGCGUGAGUGAAGAAGGUUUUCGGAUCGUAAAGCUCUGUUGUAAGUCAAGAACGAGUGUGAGAGUGGAAAGUUCACACUGUGACGGUAGCUUACCAGAAAGGGACGGCUAACUACGUGCCAGCAGCCGCGGUAAUACGUAGGUCCCGAGCGUUGUCCGGAUUUAUUGGGCGUAAAGCGAGCGCAGGCGGUUUGAUAAGUCUGAAGUUAAGGCUGUGGCUCAACCAUAGUUCGCUUUGGAAACUGUCAAACUUGAGUGCAGAAGGGGAGAGUGGAAUUCCAUGUGUAGCGGUGAAAUGCGUAGAUAUAUGGAGGAACACCGGUGGCGAAAGCGGCUCUCUGGUCUGUAACUGACGCUGAGGCUCGAAAGCGUGGGGAGCGAACAGGAUUAGAUACCCUGGUAGUCCACGCCGUAAACGAUGAGUGCUAGGUGUUGGAUCCUUUCCGGGAUUCAGUGCCGCAGCUAACGCAUUAAGCACUCCGCCUGGGGAGUACGACCGCAAGGUUGAAACUCAAAGGAAUUGACGGGGGCCCGCACAAGCGGUGGAGCAUGUGGUUUAAUUCGAAGCAACGCGAAGAACCUUACCAGGUCUUGACAUCCCGAUGCUAUUUCUAGAGAUAGAAAGUUACUUCGGUACAUCGGUGACAGGUGGUGCAUGGUUGUCGUCAGCUCGUGUCGUGAGAUGUUGGGUUAAGUCCCGCAACGAGCGCAACCCCUAUUGUUAGUUGCCAUCAUUCAGUUGGGCACUCUAGCGAGACUGCCGGUAAUAAACCGGAGGAAGGUGGGGAUGACGUCAAAUCAUCAUGCCCCUUAUGACCUGGGCUACACACGUGCUACAAUGGUUGGUACAACGAGUUGCGAGUCGGUGACGGCAAGCUAAUCUCUUAAAGCCAAUCUCAGUUCGGAUUGUAGGCUGCAACUCGCCUACAUGAAGUCGGAAUCGCUAGUAAUCGCGGAUCAGCACGCCGCGGUGAAUACGUUCCCGGGCCU
Molecule: ribosomal RNA, 1368 nt
Filed under: uncultured bacterium
Lineage: Bacteria
Description: bacterial SSU rRNA
Rfam family: Bacterial small subunit ribosomal RNA
Source: RNAcentral